GGACAAUAAAGAGAAUGCUGCUAUCCUGGCCUCUGCCCUUCCACAGUUCUAAUAACUCCCCCACCCCGCAAUUGGUCUUGCUUGAGAGAGCCAUGGUGAGACCACUAGACCUACAGAGCUUGAUGUGGUUACCGAAGCUCUUUAGACCGUCUGCCCUGUUGGCACCCACACAGGUGAAGUUAACUUUGCUGGUGUGGGAUAUGAAUAGAUCCAAAUUGAGCAACUCUACCUUAAUCUCCUUAGCAACUCCAAUUAUGGCUUACCUAUACUGUAUCCCUACUUUCCAUUUGAAACAAAUGGUGUUUCACACAUAUCACCUAGUUACCCAAACUAGGAUUAAAUGACUUCUUAACCCUGAGGUGAACAUACGAUCUCCCACUGACAUCACAAUUGUCAGACAGCCUGCAACGUAGUAAGCCAACUAAGUUGGGAGUUCAAUAUAAAGGCUUGCUAAUAUCCCAGAUAAUAUUCUAAGUGUUGUAUUCAACAACUUUUACUCGGUACCUGUGCAUUUUAUUUCAACAAACUGGUCAACCAC
Non-coding RNA from Pelobates cultripes (western spadefoot toad), 538 nucleotides. The record is from the annotation of a GenBank genome assembly. Lineage: Eukaryota; Metazoa; Chordata; Amphibia; Anura; Pelobatidae.